Molecule: non-coding RNA, 21 nt
Organism: Caenorhabditis elegans
Lineage: Eukaryota; Metazoa; Nematoda; Chromadorea; Rhabditida; Rhabditidae
Source: Ensembl
UUGGAUGAGUACAUAUGUGAU